GACCAAUGGGAUGGGAGCGGGGGCGGGGGCGGUGAGAGGACCCGCAAGGGCCCGGGAAAACUCCGCCCCGCAGCUCAACGCCCCUCUCACCUGCUGCCAGGUGAAGGGUGGAACCCCUGCUGCCAGGCUGAGCACUGGGAUUCCUCACUGGUCUCUUUUGCUGUCCGUAAGCCCGGGUGAUGCGUUCUCUGGAGGCCUUCAAGGUGCAGGAGGCCCAGCUAAGUGAAUUUUCCCUGGAGGCUCCAAGAGCAAAACUCUGGAUCGGAGGUUGUUUUCUCCCAGGAACAGGGAACUACUGCCCCCUGGAGGAUAAAAAGAAUCUCUCACUGCCCCGACUGGAAAAUCGGAAAGUCAUAGGAUUUACCUCAGAGAAUUACGAUGAGGAGUCUUACUCUGAGGUGGAAGCUGCCUUUGCCUUGGAGGAGAGCCCCGCUCCAUCAUUUG
RNAcentral lists this long non-coding RNA (444 nucleotides) under Sus scrofa (pig). RNAcentral describes it as "lncRNA (ENSSSCG00050063642.1)". Lineage: Eukaryota; Metazoa; Chordata; Mammalia; Artiodactyla; Suidae. The record is from RNAcentral.